Molecule: long non-coding RNA, 1106 nt
Filed under: Mus musculus (house mouse)
Lineage: Eukaryota; Metazoa; Chordata; Mammalia; Rodentia; Muridae
Description: long non-coding RNA chr8:120319276-120320382
Source: RNAcentral
AUUGUGGCCCAGGAAGUGACCCUGGGGCCCUAGCAUUGUCCCUCCUGUGUCCCACCUGGCCAGCGAUGCAGGAAAACAGGCAGAAGUGACCACUUCUUUAUGAUGCUGUGUGGCCAUGUCAGAAAAAGGAGAGGGAUGUGGUAUGCACCAGCUGUCUAAGCCCAGCAAGUGCCUAGCAAUCAGGACAGGUAGCCAAGUGACCGGAGGCCUACCCUGUAGCCCAUGGCCUGUGGCCUUUCCAGCCUCAGGUCCAGUCACACAGAGGUCAGCACACGGCCAGGAAGUGAGUGGGUCCAUCUUUGGGUUUCUCUGUUGAGUCACACCCAAGGGUGCUACCAGGGAGCUGCCUGGGUGUGGCUGCCCUCCGGUGGUCAGCCAAGGUGCUGCUCCUGCCUGUCUCCUGCACGAAGCCCUCCCUGCCACCAGAGGGCGCAGGAGUGCCUGUCCUCUGCGCUGACCCUGUCGAUUCAAUUGUCUGUCUAUAUGAGCCCCAGACAUGAAGUGGCUGUUACUUGACAAAGAGCCUGCCCUGUACCAAUGAUACCUGGACUUGUUCCUUGGACCUUCACAGCACCCCCACCCGGGUGCCACAUCCAGGUUGCUCCCAUCUUACAGUUAAGGAAACUGAGGCAUCAGAAGGAGCUGGUGCCUUCCAGCAAGGGCCAUAGGGCACGUGUGGGAGGAGCUAGCGGGAUGGUGGAAUACACCUGCAGCUUGUUGCUUUCUGAGGUACCUGGGUGUCGGUCUGGCUGGUUGGAGGUAGGGACACCCAUGACAUCAGGAGGCCUUCUAGUAAAUGUGGGCAUCCUCCUAUAGCCUAUUGCUAAGGGAAGUUUUCUUAUCCAUUUAUUAAGAGUUGAGCCCCGGGCUGAGUAAUGGCUCCGUAGUUAAGAGCACUGGCUGCUCUUCCAGAGGACCAGGGUUCAAUUACCAGCAACCACAUGGCAGCUCACAACUGUCUGUAGCUCCAAUUCCAGGAGAUCUGGCGCCUUCACAGGUAUACAUGCAGGCAAACCACCGAUGCACAUAAAAUAAAAUAAAUAAAAUUUAAAAAGACUUGACUCCGCCCCCAUGGGACUCCGACCCCAUGCUGGGAGUGGUGGGAU